Small nuclear RNA from Ictalurus punctatus (channel catfish), 154 nucleotides. Its record names the gene U1. It matches the Rfam family "U1 spliceosomal RNA". Rfam says of the family: U1 is a small nuclear RNA (snRNA) component of the spliceosome (involved in pre-mRNA splicing). Its 5' end forms complementary base pairs with the 5' splice junction, thus defining the 5' donor site of an intron. NCBI's taxonomy places the organism in Eukaryota, Metazoa, Chordata, Actinopteri, Siluriformes, Ictaluridae. The record is from Ensembl.
AUACUUACCUGGCAGGGGCAAUACCAUGAUCAAGUAGGUGGUUCGCCCACGAGGCUCAACCAUGCACAUCAGGUGUGCUGACCUUUACGAAUUCCCCAAAUGUGGGAGAUCUCGACUGCAGCAAUUUCAUACACUGCGUUCGCGCUUUCCUGAC